Molecule: ribosomal RNA, 253 nt
Filed under: uncultured bacterium
Lineage: Bacteria
Description: partial 16S ribosomal RNA
Rfam family: Bacterial small subunit ribosomal RNA
Source: RNAcentral
UACGGAGGGUGCGAGCGUUAUCCGGAAUUACUGGGUUUAAAGGGUGCGUAGGCGGCGUAGUAAGUCAGGAGUGAAAGUUUGCGGCUCAACCGUAAAAUUGCUUUUGAUACUGCUAUGCUAGAAUUAGGAUGAGGUCAGCGGAAUGUGGCAUGUAGCGGUGAAAUGCAUAGAUAUGCCAUAGAACACCAAUUGCGAAGGCAGCUGGCUAGACCUGGAUUGACGCUGAGGCACGAAAGCGUGGGGAGCGAACAGG